Ochotona princeps (American pika) is the source of this 104-nucleotide small nuclear RNA. NCBI's taxonomy places the organism in Eukaryota, Metazoa, Chordata, Mammalia, Lagomorpha, Ochotonidae. The record is from Ensembl.
GUGCUCACUUCGGCAGCACACAUACUAAAAUUGGAGCGGUACAGAGAUUAGUAUGGCCCCUGCAUAAGAUGACACGCAAAAUUCAUGAAGCAUUCCAUAUAAUC